RNAcentral lists this ribosomal RNA (194 nucleotides) under uncultured marine eukaryote. RNAcentral describes it as "partial 18S ribosomal RNA". It matches the Rfam family "Eukaryotic small subunit ribosomal RNA", at positions 1 to 193 of the family's 1831-position model. The record is from RNAcentral.
AACCUGGUUGAUCCUGCCAGUAGUCAUAUGCUUGUCUCAAAGAUUAAGCCAUGCAUGUCUAAGUAUAAACUGCUUUAUACUGUGAAACUGCGAAUGGCUCAUUAAAUCAGUUAUAGUUUAUUUGAUGGUACCUACUUACUCGGAUACCCGUAGUAAUUCUAGAGCUAAUACGUGCGCACAUCCCGACUUCUGGA